GUCCCUUCCUGCCCUUCAGGAGAUGUCAGUGGUUUGAUGCUGCAAACAGUCAGCUCAGUCCACUGAGCUGUAUUUUCCUGUAAUGUAAGUGGACUGCAUUUUCUUUUGGAAGCAGUUCAUUCACAAUUUCCUUGGGUGGAGGCUUUUCCGUUGUGAGCUGCAUGAUACUGCUGUUUUCAUAGUAGUGGCAGAGCAAAGACUUGGAAGUUUCAUAUAUAAGCUAUUGUUAAGCUCUGGGAAGCUCUUCAGAACUGUUAAUUGCUGUAGUUGCAGUUUCUGCCAGCGUCUCUUUGGUAUUUUUGGUCCAACCUCAAGCUGAAGGGAAAGUGCUUCAUUGCCUAACCCAGGAGACGUGACAAAACUGAUAUUGGAAGCUAUGGGACAUACCAGCUCUCCGUCACUUGUGGCUUGAUGCAGUUCACACAAACUCAUCUGGUCUUUGGCUGCAGGUGAAGCUUCUUUGUGCUCCCAGCAGUGAUUGCACCACCACCACCACCAUGCCCCC
Molecule: long non-coding RNA, 505 nt
Organism: Harpia harpyja (harpy eagle)
Lineage: Eukaryota; Metazoa; Chordata; Aves; Accipitriformes; Accipitridae
Exons: 3
Source: RefSeq, a predicted model, not a curated record